GUGGGGAAUAUUGGACAAUGGGCGAAAGCCUGAUCCAGCCAUGCCGCGUGUGUGAAGAAGGUCUUCGGAUUGUAAAGCACUUUAAGUUGGGAGGAAGGGCAGUAAGUUAAUACCUUGCUGUUUUGACGUUACCGACAGAAUAAGCACCGGCUAACUUCGUGCCAGCAGCCGCGGUAAUACGAAGGGUGCAAGCGUUAAUCGGAAUUACUGGGCGUAAAGCGCGCGUAGGUGGUUUUGUAAGUUGUAGGUGAAAUCCCCGGGCUCAACCUGGGAACUGCCUCCAAAACUGCAUGACUAGAGUACGGUAGAGGGUAGUGGAAUUUCCUGUGUAGCGGUGAAAUGCGUAGAUAUAGGAAGGAACACCAGUGGCGAAGGCGACUACCUGGACUGAUACUGACACUGAGGUGCGAAAGCGUGGGGAGCAAACAGGAUUAGAAACCCGGGUAGUCC
This 450-nucleotide ribosomal RNA is filed under the name uncultured bacterium. RNAcentral's name for it is "partial 16S ribosomal RNA". It matches the Rfam family "Bacterial small subunit ribosomal RNA", at positions 354 to 796 of the family's 1533-position model. The record is from RNAcentral.